UCAGAGAGGAGCCCUGGAUUCCCUGUUGCUGCCUUGUGGUGUGAUCAGGGAAGCAUGUGGCAGAGGUGAUAUCCCUUCCGUGCUUUGGGGCUCUGCUCUUCAAAGCUGUGCUUGGGUUGAUUUGAAAGAAUGUUUCCAGGGUUGUGUAAAUUCUGUGCAAGAAGAGCGAAGGGGUCUCCCUUGAGCACUGUGUCCAUAGAUGAGGCUCCUGACUGUGGAUGAGUGCUUUGAAAGGGGAAGCAGCACCUCUCCUGGUGUCACACACAAGCUGUGGAGACUCCUUGCACAUGAGCAUCUCCCUCACCACUAGGAAUUGAAAAGGGUGCUACCAGCAGUAUGCCAUUUGCAAGAUACCAUGGUGCUGAUAUGUUUGGCUUUGCCUGUGAUGAAAUGUGUGUUUAUCCUGAAUCUGAAGAGGACUUUCGUCUUAGGCAUUCUUCCAUGGCCUUGAAAGUAGCAGUACCAGAAUUGUAGUCCUCCUCCCAGUUUAUCUGCACUGUGACACCUGAGUAUCUGGCCUGCACCCCUCUGCACCUGAGCUGAACGUUGGGCAUGCAGCUCUUUGUCAGGCUGCUUGUACCACUCCGUAGUUGGCAGAAAGACUGCAAAUGGGCUUUAAGUUGUGUGAGAUAGGUGGGGAAGGGGAAUGUGAAGAGCAAGUGCUGUUAUAACUUUAAUGUUAACACAAAUUUAGUCUGUUGGCAAAACACGGUGAUAGUGGAUCAUUCAAAAUAAAUUAUGUUUGUAAGUAUAAA
Long non-coding RNA from Pogoniulus pusillus (Red-fronted tinkerbird), 755 nucleotides. RefSeq lists it as uncharacterized. The record is from RefSeq and is a predicted model, not a curated record. The transcript has 2 exons. Lineage: Eukaryota; Metazoa; Chordata; Aves; Piciformes; Lybiidae.